AGCUAGUCCAAUGGUAGUGGGUUAUCAGAACUUAUCAGUGUCACUAAAGUUGGUAUUCAACCCCCCACUGCUAAAUUUGACUGGCUUUAA
Molecule: Y RNA, 90 nt
Filed under: Prolemur simus (greater bamboo lemur)
Lineage: Eukaryota; Metazoa; Chordata; Mammalia; Primates; Lemuridae
Description: Y RNA (ENSPSMG00000003453.1)
Rfam family: Y RNA
About the family: Y RNAs are components of the Ro ribonucleoprotein particle (Ro RNP), in association with Ro60 and La proteins. The Y RNAs and Ro60 and La proteins are well conserved, but the function of the Ro RNP is not known.
Source: Rfam by way of RNAcentral